UUAUUACUCCCUCCGUCCCAAAUUAAGUGACUCAAAAAUGACUCCGUUUUGUACGAAAGUUAGUACAAAAUAGAGUCAUUUUUGAGUCACUUAUUUUGGGAUGGAGGGAGUACUUC
This 116-nucleotide microRNA precursor is filed under the name Hordeum vulgare. RNAcentral's name for it is "microRNA MIR1122". It matches the Rfam family "MIR1120/MIR1122 microRNA precursor family". Lineage: Eukaryota; Viridiplantae; Streptophyta; Magnoliopsida; Poales; Poaceae. The record is from RNAcentral.